CCCCUGUGCCCGGCCGAGCCUGAUUGGAGGCGGGGCCGCUGCGCCGGAGGGGCUCCCGCAGCUGCGGGCCGGGCGGAGCGGCCUAUCAGAGAGCCGGCAGGCCGCAGGGAGGCGGUCUUCAGUUCGCCUCCCGGCCGCGCUAGUUUCACUGACCUUUACGGGAUUUAUGACCUAGAGGAGCUGUGUAUGUCCAGAGUUAAGUCCAAGUGGUUUGCAGCACAGCUUUGCAGAUCCAGCCUGACAGUGAACCCCUCAGCUCUGCACAGUCACAGACAAUUCUCAGCCAAGCCUCUUCAGUGUGACAAUUCACUGCAUCUUCGAAUAAAAGAAAAAAAUUGUCAUCGUUCAAUACUGUCUUCACAUCCUGGAACCUCGUUCUUGCAAAAUCUGAAACAGACCAAUAAAAAUUCUAUAAAUGAAAAUUAGCUCAAUGUCAUUCCUAAAGCAUGGAGAUCAAAGAGCAACAUAAUGACUACUUUAAAUUACUGUUUAUUUUGUCCCCGCCAGAGAGUAAAGGAUCCAAGUCUUAGGACUGACUGUUCAAGCAAUUAUAUUUUAAUGUUGCUGCUCUAAACUGAAUCACAACCAGCAAUAAUGAGGUAAACUGUCAGGCUGCAUAGUACUCUAGACUGUGUCAGCAGGCUGUAGAACCAAUC
Molecule: long non-coding RNA, 656 nt
Organism: Vidua chalybeata
Lineage: Eukaryota; Metazoa; Chordata; Aves; Passeriformes; Viduidae
Exons: 4
Source: RefSeq, a predicted model, not a curated record